GCUGGAUUAGCUCAAUUGGUAGAGCAGCUGAUUUGUAAUCAGCAGGUUGUAGGUUCGAGUCCUAUAUCCAGCUCCA
Molecule: transfer RNA, 76 nt
Filed under: Pseudobdellovibrionaceae bacterium
Lineage: Bacteria; Pseudomonadati; Bdellovibrionota; Bdellovibrionia; Bdellovibrionales; Pseudobdellovibrionaceae
Description: Bdellovibrionaceae bacterium tRNA-Thr
Rfam family: tRNA
About the family: Transfer RNA (tRNA) molecules are approximately 80 nucleotides in length. Their secondary structure includes four short double-helical elements and three loops (D, anti-codon, and T loops).
Source: RNAcentral